GGAGUUAGGAAAUGUAAGUGCGCUAAUAUCGUGCUUAUUUGACAAAGGCUCCAAAGGAAGCCACGGCUAACUCUGUGCCAGCAGCCGCGGUAAUACAGAGGUGGCGAGCGUUGUUCGGAAUUAUUGGGCGUAAAGAGCACGUAGGUGGGUUUGCAAGUCAGAUGUGAAAGCCUUCUGUUCAACGGAAGAAUUGCAUCUGAAUCUGCUAAUCUUGAGUAUAGGAGGGGAGAGUGGAACUUCUG
This 242-nucleotide ribosomal RNA is filed under the name uncultured Planctomycetales bacterium. RNAcentral describes it as "partial 16S ribosomal RNA". It matches the Rfam family "Bacterial small subunit ribosomal RNA", at positions 439 to 672 of the family's 1533-position model. The record is from RNAcentral. Lineage: Bacteria; Pseudomonadati; Planctomycetota; Planctomycetia; Planctomycetales.